RNAcentral lists this ribosomal RNA (429 nucleotides) under Bacteroidota bacterium. Its description in RNAcentral is "Bacteroidetes bacterium partial 16S ribosomal RNA". It matches the Rfam family "Bacterial small subunit ribosomal RNA", at positions 355 to 776 of the family's 1533-position model. The record is from RNAcentral. Lineage: Bacteria; Pseudomonadati; Bacteroidota.
UAGGGAAUCUUCCGCAAUGGACGCCAGUCUGACGGAGCAACGCCGCGUGAGUGAAGAAGGAUUUCGGUUCGUAAAACUCUGUUGUUAGAGAAGAACAGCGCAUAGAGUAACUGUUAUGCGUGUGACGGUAUCUAACCAGAAAGCCACGGCUAACUACGUGCCAGCAGCCGCGGUAAUACGUAGGUGGCAAGCGUUGUCCGGAUUUAUUGGGCGUAAAGCGAGCGCAGGCGGUCAAUUAAGUCUGAUGUGAAAGCCCCCGGCUCAACCGGGGAGGGUCAUUGGAAACUGGUUGACUUGAGUGCAGAAGAGGAGAGUGGAAUUCCAUGUGUAGCGGUGAAAUGCGUAGAUAUAUGGAGGAACACCAGUGGCGAAGGCGACUCUCUGGUCUGUAACUGACGCUGAGGCUCGAAAGCGUGGGUAGCAAACAGG